Molecule: transfer RNA, 73 nt
Filed under: Synechococcus sp. CC9902
Lineage: Bacteria; Bacillati; Cyanobacteriota; Cyanophyceae; Synechococcales; Synechococcaceae
Description: tRNA-Ala
Source: RNAcentral
GCCACGCGCGUCCUCUUCCACCUGCGCCAAAAGUUGAGAGGCAUGGCCUUGGCGCGCCGCUGACCCUCGGCAA